CGCUUACAUCUCAUGGUAGCGAAAGACGAUUCCUAAACCGCUGAAUGAUGGGCAACGAUCUAUAACUAGCUAUAAGGUAAUCGCGACCCUAUCACGCACGAGAGUUGAAAGCAAGUGGAGAGGGCUAACUCGAAAUAGAAUAAGUGAAUAAGUGAGUGAGAUUGGAUUCUAGGCUCGAUUAGAUGUUUGGUAUGCCAGUAGAUAAGUUAUACGAAGGAAGCAAUCUUCUUUCAUGUGAUCUAGUUCCUUCUUAUGUCGAGAUUCGGUUGGUGUGCCCCUUAGUAUUCUCAUAAGUGAUGCGCCUGCUUAUUCGCCCUCUGUCUCUCGUGAUUGUCAGUGAACGUGGACACCGGAGAGCGUUAGAUGGUGGAAACAACUAUCUACCAAUGACGAGAUGACCGAGGUCAAAUUACAUUUACAUUUCAGCGACUCUUUAGAUAUAAAAAAAAUGACGAAUAAUAUAUAAAAUAUGCAUAAAUUCGAUAUACAAAAAAGAAAAAAAAGAC
Molecule: unclassified non-coding RNA, 506 nt
Filed under: Hevea brasiliensis (rubber tree)
Lineage: Eukaryota; Viridiplantae; Streptophyta; Magnoliopsida; Malpighiales; Euphorbiaceae
Source: RNAcentral